UACGUAGGGAGCAAGCGUUGUCCGGAUUUACUGGGUGUAAAGGGUGCGUAGGCGGCUUUGCAAGUCAGAAGUGAAAUCCAUGGGCUUAACCCAUGAACUGCUUUUGAAACUGCAGAGCUUGAGUGGAGUAGAGGUAGGCGGAAUUCCCGGUGUAGCGGUGAAAUGCGUAGAGAUCGGGAGGAACACCAGUGGCGAAGGCGGCCUGCUAGGCUCUAACUGACGCUGAGGCACGAAAGCGUGGGUAGCAAACAGG
Molecule: ribosomal RNA, 253 nt
Filed under: uncultured bacterium
Lineage: Bacteria
Description: partial 16S ribosomal RNA
Rfam family: Bacterial small subunit ribosomal RNA
Source: RNAcentral